GGUGAACGCUGGCGGCAUGCCUAAUACAUGCAAGUCGAGCGAACGGACGAGAAGCUUGCUUCUCUGAUGUUAGCGGCGGACGGGUGAGUAACACGUGGAUAACCUACCUAUAAGACUGGGAUAACUUCGGGAAACCGGAGCUAAUACCGGAUAAUAUUUUGAACCGCAUGGUUCAAAAGUGAAAGACGGUCUUGCUGUCACUUAUAGAUGGAUCCGCGCUGCAUUAGCUAGUUGGUAAGGUAACGGCUUACCAAGGCAACGAUGCAUAGCCGACCUGAGAGGGUGAUCGGCCACACUGGAACUGAGACACGGUCCAGACUCCUACGGGAGGCAGCAGUAGGGAAUCUUCCGCAAUGGGCGAAAGCCUGACGGAGCAACGCCGCGUGAGUGAUGAAGGUCUUCGGAUCGUAAAACUCUGUUAUUAGGGAAGAACAUAUGUGUAAGUAACUGUGCACAUCUUGACGGUACCUAAUCAGAAAGCCACGGCUAACUACGUG
Molecule: ribosomal RNA, 497 nt
Filed under: uncultured bacterium
Lineage: Bacteria
Description: partial 16S ribosomal RNA
Rfam family: Bacterial small subunit ribosomal RNA
Source: RNAcentral